AGAGUUUGAUCAUGGCUCAGGAUGAACGCUAGCUACAGGCUUAACACAUGCAAGUCGAGGGGAAACGACAUCGAAAGCUUGCUUUUGAUGGGCGUCGACCGGCGCACGGGUGAGUAACGCGUAUCCAACCUGCCCACCACUUGGGGAUAACCUUGCGAAAGUAAGACUAAUACCCAAUGACGUCUCUAGAAGACAUCUGAAAGAGAUUAAAGAUUUAUCGGUGAUGGAUGGGGAUACGUCUGAUUAGCUUGUUGGCGGGGUAACGGCCACCAAGGCGACGAUCAGUAGGGGUUCUGGAGAGGAAGGUCCCCCANAUUGGAACUGAGACACGGUCCAAACUCCGUACGGGAGGCA
RNAcentral lists this ribosomal RNA (354 nucleotides) under uncultured bacterium. RNAcentral describes it as "bacterial SSU rRNA". It matches the Rfam family "Bacterial small subunit ribosomal RNA", at positions 8 to 350 of the family's 1533-position model. The record is from RNAcentral.